CCUACGGGUGGCAGCAGUGAGGAAUAUUGGUCAAUGGGCGGGAGCCUGAACCAGCCAAGUCGCGUGAGGGACGACGGUCCUAUGGAUUGUAAACCUCUUUUGUCGGGGAACAAAUGCGCCCACGGGUGGGCGGAUGAGUGUACCCGAAGAAACAGCAUCCGCUAACUCCGGGCCAGCAGCCGCGGUAAUACGGAGGGUGCGAGCGUUAUCCGGAUUUAUUGGGUUGAACGGGAGCGUAGAUGGGUUGUUAAGUCAGUUGUGAAAGUUUGCGGCUCAACCGUAAAAUUGCAAUUGAUACUGGCAGUCUUGAGUACAGGUGAGGUAGGCGGAAUUCGUGGUGUAGCGGUGAAAUGCUUAGAUAUCACGAAGAACUCCGAUUGCGAAGGCAGCUUACUAAACUGCCACUGACAUUGAUGCUCGAAAGUGUGGGUAUCAAACAGGAUUAGAUACCCGAGUAGUC
RNAcentral lists this ribosomal RNA (460 nucleotides) under uncultured bacterium. RNAcentral's name for it is "partial 16S ribosomal RNA". It matches the Rfam family "Bacterial small subunit ribosomal RNA", at positions 338 to 795 of the family's 1533-position model. The record is from RNAcentral.